AAUGGGACAAUCAAUAGCAAUUCACAGUGUGCUGAACAGUAAGAUUUAAUAUUAGCUUAGUCUUGCGACAAGAGGCAAGACACACGUCAAAUGCAGUGGGGCACAGCCAGAGGUGAAAGCCUUUCAGCUGCAUUCAGCAACAGCAUCGUCCUGAACUGGAUGCUGGAGCUGGCCUGGGUGCUUGGGCCAUGACUCAGACCUGGACUCCAGCACCUCUGCUCUCCUCGUCCAUUGUCACUGUGAAGUGGGGCUGAUGUAAAAAGAGUUGAUUUCUACCCUACCAAGUCACAGAACGGUUGGACUGGAAAGGAGUCGGGGGUCAUGUGGUUCAACCCCUCAUUUUACAGGUUCCAAGGAUUAGGACAUAGAUAUCUUCAGGGGGCCAUUAUUCUGCAUAGCCCAGAGCACGCUGACAUCUAGGAAAGAGUCUUCCAGGCAGAGGAACAGCUAGAGCAGAGGCCCAGAGGUGGACGAGCCUGGAGCUGGGAGAAAGCUAACCCUUGCCAAGGACACACUUGACCUUGUCUUCAAAGGUAGCCCUUAAAGGAGCAGUAUAUUUUCUCCAUCCAACAAAAGUGAGAUGAACAAUUCUGCAGUUUUCUUCACAGGCUCAUAAAGCAGAAGCGCUUCUCUGAUAAUCUCUGCUAGAGUAUCCUUUGAGCUUCUUUUGUCCGGGAGCCUGGCUGAAUUUCUCCCAGUAUGUCAGAAUUUGCUUCCCAGGGGCCCGCUUCGUGGAUGAUGGAGUGGAAGGUUUGGCCCAGUCCGAGGUUUAAGACAGCCAAGCAAUUUCUCUGGACAGGCAGCUCUGACUCCAUUUUAAAAUGACUCCUCUAUAGUCACUUUUGUGAAGGUCAUGGUCAAAGAGAUGGAUUAGGGAAACUUCCCUACUCCAGGGCCAGUGUACCUUCUGUCACGUCCUUGUGGAAGCUCCAAGACAACGCUUGGCACAACCUGAACCCUCUGCCAGUGGCCACUCCAGUCUAACUGGUUCCUGUCCUCAGAUGUUAGCUCCAUGAAGACUCUCCACUCUCUCUGGAAGGACCCGAGACAUGGCAACCUUUUUUUUCUGCUAGAGGUGGUCAUGUUUCCAGUAAAUAGAAUUACAAAAUUCCAGCCCUGCUCAGUGCCCUGUUCAGUCUCUCCUUUGUUCCAAUCCCCUAAUUUCAUAUAAAUAAAAACCCUAGCUUUGCUUUUGCUCAUGCUGAGAGCCAUGUUGACUGUAGGUUUGGAAUCUCUUCAAUCAUGAAAUGCAUUUACUGAGGUUACACUCAAAUGAUUGUGGGAACAGUCUGGGAUGAACUUCUAGGAGGGGAAAACAGAUAACAAAGCAGAACCACAGUUCAUGGGAAAGACUGGGAAUUCCCAGAGUUGGAGGAGAAGGCUGGAAUUCUGAGCUUGUGUGGACAUUACAUCAUCCUAUUCCAAUCAAGCAUCUGUUUAUUCGGGUACUCAUUCAUUCAACAAACAUAUUUUGAACACCUCUUUUGGGCUACUUAUCGCAGCUGAAACUGCCACUCCUCAGAGAUAGGAAAUUACUUAAGGAAAAUGCUGUGAGUAGUUUCACUCUCCUCAUAUUAAAAACUUGGGAAAAUAUGCAGAGGUUGAUUCAUUUUUAUAUUGCUUAUAUAAUGCUUACUAUGUGCCAAGGGCUAUUCUAAUGCUUUACCCAUUAACUCAUUUAAUCAUUGGAACGACCCUUUAAGGCCGGUCUAUUAUUAUCCCCAUUUUACACAUGAGGCGACUGAGGCACUAAGAAAUCAAGAAGCCUUCCUGAGCUCACAGAGCUAGAGAGUGGUGGAUUUGGGAUUUAAAUUCACUCAAUUUGGCUCCAGGGUUCAUUCUUUUAGCUACUAAGCUUGCAUCCUCCACUGUGUCAAUGAAGCUCUGCUACAACGACAGGGCUCCCGGGCACAGCCACAGCAGGAGCGGGAGGGAAGUGUGGGGCUGCAACUCAGAACCAGGAGCUUCAACAGGGUCGCAGUGGCUGAAAGGAAACGCUAAAGGCUGUAUUCCUUCACUUGUGAUUGUGUCUAGACUGCAGGGUUUGCUUAUGGUUUCAUGAUGGGCUACUUCCUCAUUAAAACAUGCUGUGUGUGCAUUUGUGUGUGUGUAUGAUCCUUAGGGAAAGGAUUUCAUGGGGCUGAAAAAACCAUAGCCCACUGUUUCUUAAACUCUAAUGUGAGCACGAAUCAUCUGGAGUGGAGCCUGAGAACCUGCAUUUCCAACCAGCUCUCAGGUGAUGCCAAUGCUAGAUCCACCACUUUGAGAAGCAAGGGAAUAGAGGACCAAAGGUUUCAAAGACUUAAAAAAACCCAAACACUGGAACACUUUCUUCCAACCAAAUCUUAUAUGAAGAUUCAAUAAGUAAAAGAUACGAUUGGAGCCAUCUUGCUUGAAGUGAAGGAGGCAGCCAAGAGCCACGCCCCAAAACAUUUUAUUCCCCUCCAAACUUAUGAAACCUCAAGGAAACAAAUGUAAGGCAGCUGUGAAGAAGUCUGGUGAUCUGGACACCACGCCCUCCGCCUCGGCCUUCCACGACGCCUUCUCUGUCUAAUAUGAGUCACAUAUGGCUACUGUACACUUGAAAUGUGGCCAGGAUGACUGAGGAAAGGAACCGUUAAUUUAAUUUAAAUUAACCUAAAUUAAAAGCUUUAACUGUAUAAAAUAUUUUUCUGUUCAACACAACUUUACUGUUUCGGUAGGACAUUUCAUUACAUUGCGUAUGAUCUUACUGUAGUCUACACGUGAACACUUCACCCAUCUAGUCAGUGUCAGGCAGUCAACUCAGUUUGAUUUUUAAAAUAUGCAUCUGAUGUAACUUGUGUUUAUUUGAAUAUUUAAUGCAGGCAAUGUGAGUUGGAGUGAUAUCUACGUGAGUGAUAGCCAUUACAUUUAUUACAAUUUUUUACAUGAUUGCAUUUUAGUUUAAUCGUAAUAUUAAUAAAUUAUUUUUCUAGUUUAAAAAAUAAGUAUGGGCAAACAUUUAAAUUUAAAACGAAGGCACACUACUGCUGCAGAAUCAAGUGGAGAUUCCGAAGCUAGUACUGUGACCGGAACAGUAAAGAAGAAAAGAGACUGGUGCAAAUUUCAGGAUGAAAGGCAGUUGCAAUUUACUGUGGCAGAGCAAAACAAUAAAGCUAUUGAUUGUGUAAAAUAUUUCAAAGAUAAUAAAGCGGAUAAUAUUAAGAGACAUUUUCAGGAAAUACAUAGUGAAUUGGAUAAGAACUUUCCUCUGAAUAGUCAAAAAAGAAUAAACACCUAAAAUAAGAAUUAAUGUCCGAUAAAAUUUGUUAAACUGCUUUUUCAUUUAUUUAUAUAUUUUUAGAUAAAAAUUGUAUGUAUUUAAGGUGUACAGCAUGAUAAUUCAAUAUGCAUAUACACGGUGAAAUGAUCACUAGUGAAGCUAAUUAACAUAUCAUCUCCUCACAUAGUUACCAUUUCUUUGUGCGUGGUGAGCGCACCUGAAGUGUACUCUCUUAGAGUGUUUCCAGAGUUCAAUAGAGUGUUAUUAAGUAUAGUCAUCAUCCUUGUCCAUUAGCUCUCUAGAUUUACUCAUCAUCCUUAACUGCUGCUUUGAACCCGUUGACCAGCAUCUCCCAUUGCCUUAAACUACUUUUAACAUUGUCUGAGCAAGUGACUUUGGCUAGCUGUAGAAUGGCUUGGAUUCUUGCACAAUAAGGAAAAUUAUUUUUAGAUGGACAAAGAGUAAAAUAAAUUAUUUCAGUUAUGGAAAUUUGUUAGAAGAUUAUAAAGGAAAAGACUAAAAAUGAUACUUCAUAAAAGGUGAAAGAUCUUCAAUUAAGCCCCCAAACAAUUGUUAGUAGGAUACAACACCUUUCUAAUAAUAUCAAAGAUAAAUUGAUUCGCAUUUGAAAAACUUCAAGACUUUUCUUUAGCUUUAGAGAAGUUGUGAGACAUAAAAGACACUCCCCAAUCAACACUUAGAUAUGUUUUUUCUCUCAAAGGACUUUCACACAUGCAAAGAAGUGUCAAUUUGUGGCUUAGAAAGUUGAACUCAAGGCAUGAAUAUUUAUCAAAGAAUUUCAGCUAGAUAUGAAAAAAUUUGUUUCUAUCAUGAUGUACUGUGAUCCAGCUAUAUCAGUUUAAAAAUCCAGAUUUAUUGGAGUUUUGCAAUAGAAGACUGAUGUUUCCCUUUUUGCUUCAUCCCACUGAACUAUUUGAGCUCAGUUUUCUGAAGGAGACACUGUGAAAAGUGUCGUGGAUGGAAUUGUUAAUAUUGCUCAUAAGGAUGUGCAAAUGCUAUGAAUCGUCCCCAGUUUAUGGAACUGUUGAAAGAAAUGGAAGACAAAGGAUUUAAUGAAUUGAAAGUUCUUUGCCAAUACUCGUUGUUUGAGUUGUAGGAGAGUUUUGCAAAGAUUUACUGUAAAGUCCAAUUUUUUCUUGAAACGAGGAAUAUUUGCCAAAUGCUCAAUAAUCAAAGACUCAAAAUGGCAAUGUAAUUUGUUUUCUGAUAUUAUACUGCAUAUGAAGAAGCUAAAUUUGAAGUUCCAAGUAAAGGAAAAGCUUAUUUGUGACCUAGCUAGAUAGGCACAAGAAUUGAUGUUGAAAUCAAAACUUUUCAAAAUCCAAAUCAAUAAUAACAAUUUUAUACCUUUUUUCUUUUCUUUUUUUUUGGUCAACGUGGAGG
Long non-coding RNA from Equus caballus (horse), 4648 nucleotides. The record is from Ensembl. Lineage: Eukaryota; Metazoa; Chordata; Mammalia; Perissodactyla; Equidae.